GGAAGGAACUAACAGGGAUUCCCCUAGUAACUGCGAGUGAAGCGGGAAAAGCUCAAAUUUAAAAUCUGGUAGUCUCUGGCUGCCCGAGUUGUAAUCUAGAGAAGUGUUAUCCGCGCUGGACCGUGUAUAAGUCUCCUGGAAUGGAGCGUCAUAGAGGGUGAGAAUCCCGUCUUUGACACGGACUACCGGGGCUUUGUGAUGCGCUCUCGAAGAGUCGAGUUGUUUGGGAAUGCAGCUCUAAAUGGGUGGUAAAUUCCAUCUAAAGCUAAAUAUUGGCGAGAGACCGAUAGCGAACAAGUACCGUGAGGGAAAGAUGAAAAGAACUUUGGAAAGAGAGUUAAACAGUACGUGAAAUUGUUGAAAGGGAAACGCUUGAAGUCAGUCGCGUUGGCUAGGAAUCAGCCUUGCUUUUGCUUGGUGUACUUCCUUGUUGACGGGUCAGCAUCAAUUUUGACCGGUGGAAAAAGGCUAGUGGAAUGUGGCAUCUUCGGAUGUGUUAUAGCUGCUAGUUGUAUACAUCGGUUGGGAUUGAGGAACUCAGCACGCCGCAAGGUCGGGGUUCGCCCACGUUCGUGCUUAGGAUGCUGGCAUAAUGGCUUUAAUCGACCCGUCUUGAAACACGGACCAAGGAGUCUAACAUGCCUGCGAGUGUUUGGGUGGAAAACCCGAGCGCGUAAUGAAAGUGAAAGUUGAGAUCCCUGUCGUGGGGAGCAUCGACGCCCGGACCAGACCUUUUGUGACGGAUCCGCGGUAGAGCAUGUAUGUUGGGACCCGAAAGAUGGUGAACUAUGCCUGAAUAGGGUGAAGCCAGAGGAAACUCUGGUGGAGGCUCGUAGCGAUUCUGACGUGCAAAUCGAUCGUCAAAUUUGGGUAUAGGGGCGAAAGACUAAUCGAACCAUCUAGUAGCUGGUCCU
Molecule: ribosomal RNA, 914 nt
Filed under: Clitopilus brunneiceps
Lineage: Eukaryota; Fungi; Basidiomycota; Agaricomycetes; Agaricales; Entolomataceae
Description: partial large subunit ribosomal RNA
Rfam family: Eukaryotic large subunit ribosomal RNA
Source: RNAcentral